UAGUUUGAGAACGUUAUGUAUUAUCUUUCACGAUUGUAAUGGAAAAGUUGCAAGAAUACCUUACAUGCCUUCUCCAAUCUUGGCCAAAGUCGCAAAGAUUUUAACAUUGUUACACAAGUAACUUCAUUAAAGGAACCGCUUGUAUUAUGAUGAAAGAUAUUACUACAUAAUCUUAAGGUGACAUUUAAUUAUCUUACCUUUCUCCAAUCUUGAUUAAAGUUGUAGAGGUUCUAAUAUUAUUAU
Molecule: long non-coding RNA, 243 nt
Filed under: Carica papaya (papaya)
Lineage: Eukaryota; Viridiplantae; Streptophyta; Magnoliopsida; Brassicales; Caricaceae
Description: long non-coding RNA (CPAP_LNC015561)
Source: RNAcentral